RNAcentral lists this ribosomal RNA (378 nucleotides) under Albinaria voithii. RNAcentral describes it as "partial 16S ribosomal RNA". The stretch from base 1 to 206 matches the Rfam family "Archaeal large subunit ribosomal RNA", at positions 1888 to 2143 of the family's 2987-position model. The record is from RNAcentral. Lineage: Eukaryota; Metazoa; Mollusca; Gastropoda; Stylommatophora; Clausiliidae.
UCGACUGUUUAUCAAAAACAUAGCCAUAAGGAGAUAUUUAUGGUGUUAUCUGCCCAGUGAUUAUAUUUAACGGCCGCAGUACCUUGACUGUGCAAAGGUAGCAUAAUCACUUGACUUUUAAAUGGAGCCUAGAAUGAAAGAGAGAACGUAGAUAAGUUGUCUUAUUAAUAAUAUUUUAAACUUGCUGGAGGAGUGAAAAUACUCUUAAAUUUAAAAAUAGACGAGAAGACCCUUAGAAUUUUAAAAAUAUUUAAGUAGUCUCUUGUAAGAUUUUUUGUUGGGGCAACAGUAUUUCAUAAAAAUAAAUAUUAAUUUAAAAGGUAUAUCGAUUUAAUAAUUACGAAAAAAUUACCUAAGGGAUAACAGCAUAAUUUAAUA